GACGAACGCUGGCGGCGUGCUUAACACAUGCAAGUCGAACGGAAAGGCCCUGCUUGCGGGGUACUCGAGUGGCGAACGGGUGAGUAACACGUGGGUGAUCUGCCCUGCACUUCGGGAUAAGCCUGGGAAACUGGGUCUAAUACCGGAUAGGAGCAAUUUUUAGUGGGAUGGUUGGAAAGUUUUUUAGGUGUAGGAUGAGCUAGCGGCCUAUCAGCUUGUUGGUGGGGUAAUGGGCUACCAAGGCGGCGACGGGUAGCCGGCCUGAGAGGGUGGACGGCCACAUUGGGACUGAGAUACGGCCCAGACUCCUACGGGAGGCAGCAGUGGGGAAUAUUGCACAAUGGGCGCCAGCCUGAUGCAGCGACGCCGCGUGGGGGAUGACGGCCUUCGGGUUGUAAACUCCUUUCGCUAGGGACGAAGCUUUUUGUGACGGUACCUAGAUAAGAAGCACCGGCUAACUACGUG
This 465-nucleotide ribosomal RNA is filed under the name uncultured bacterium. RNAcentral describes it as "partial 16S ribosomal RNA". It matches the Rfam family "Bacterial small subunit ribosomal RNA", at positions 28 to 507 of the family's 1533-position model. The record is from RNAcentral.